AAUCCAUGUUGUGGGCAUUGACGGAGUAGACUCUUGUAUCGUUUACAAUCUUCUGAAUAAUAUUUAAAAUCCAACCGUAUAAAUUUAGUAAUCUCAUAUCUUAUCUU
RNAcentral lists this small nucleolar RNA (107 nucleotides) under Olea europaea subsp. europaea. Its description in RNAcentral is "Plant small nucleolar RNA R71". It matches the Rfam family "Plant small nucleolar RNA R71". From Rfam's summary of the family: R71 is a member of the C/D box family of snoRNAs containing the C (UGAUGA) and D (CUGA) box motifs. Multiple nearly identical copies of this snoRNA have been identified in Arabidopsis, and it is thought to function as a 2'-O-ribose methylation guide for 18S ribosomal RNA. The record is from Rfam by way of RNAcentral. Lineage: Eukaryota; Viridiplantae; Streptophyta; Magnoliopsida; Lamiales; Oleaceae.